This 468-nucleotide ribosomal RNA is filed under the name uncultured bacterium. RNAcentral describes it as "partial 16S ribosomal RNA". It matches the Rfam family "Bacterial small subunit ribosomal RNA", at positions 28 to 507 of the family's 1533-position model. The record is from RNAcentral.
GACGAACGCUGGCGGCGUGCUUAACACAUGCAAGUCGAACGGAAAGGCCCUGCGUUUGUGGGGUGCUCGAGUGGCGAACGGGUGAGUAACACGUGAGUAACCUGCCCUUGACUUUGGGGUAACUUUAGGAAACUGGGGCUAAUACCGGGUAGGAGCUCCUGCUGCGUGGGGGGGAUUGGAAAGUUUCGGCGGUGGGGGAUGGACUCGCGGCUUAUGAGCUUGUUGGUGGGGUGGUGGCUUACCAAGGUUUUGACGGGUAGCCGGCCUGAGAGGGUGACCGGCCACAUUGGGACUGAGAUACGGCCCAGACGCCUACGGGAGGCAGCAGUGGGGAAUAUGGCACAAUGGGCGGAAGCCUGAUGCAGCAACGCUGCGUGCGGGAUGACGGCCUUCGGGUUGUAAACCGCUUUCGCCUGUGACGAAGCGUGAGUGACGGUAAUGGGUAAAGAAGCACCGGCUAACUACGUG